Molecule: transfer RNA, 42 nt
Filed under: Liriope spicata
Lineage: Eukaryota; Viridiplantae; Streptophyta; Magnoliopsida; Asparagales; Asparagaceae
Also listed under: 1 other name
Description: partial tRNA-His
Source: RNAcentral
GGCGGAUGUAGCCAAGUGGAUCAAGGCAGUGGAUUUGUGACC